This is a long non-coding RNA of Acinonyx jubatus (cheetah), 1590 nucleotides long. RefSeq lists it as uncharacterized. Lineage: Eukaryota; Metazoa; Chordata; Mammalia; Carnivora; Felidae. The transcript has 3 exons. The record is from RefSeq and is a predicted model, not a curated record.
CAUUCACUGCAAAGGCUAUCUCUCUUCCACUGAAUUGCUUCUGCUCCUUUGUCAAGAACUAAUUGAGUAUAUUUGUGUGUAUCUCAUUCUGCUUCUCCAUUAACCUAUGUGUCUGAGUCUCUACCACCAUACCGCCAUCUUGAUUACUGUGUAAAUGCCUUUUUAACAUCUCAUUAUUGUUUCUUUGGCAAGGAUUCAGGAGGUAAACACAUAGGCUUGAUCCAUUAUUUUUUUACUAAAAAAUACUUUCUAAAUGUCUUUGUUAUUUUUUUCACUAGCUGUGGUAAAAUUUGUUGAUUUCAUGCAGUUAAAAAUAGUAUAAUGGAAAAAUGGUUUGUUAAUAUUUUAGUUACCAAAACAGUAUAGGAUCUAUAUAUAUUUGAAAAAGAAUACAUAAAUAUGUGACAAAUGCUAAGAGGCUAUAAGAAUAAAAUAAUGCCAAAUCAGAGAAGAAACAAUAUAUUUCCCUAGAAGUGAGGUGGGGGUAAGAGAAAGAUUAAGAAAACCUAACCAGAAAAAAUGACACAUGAACUGGGUUCUCCUAUAUGUAAAGAGGGUGUGAAUAAGGGAAUGAGUAGUUGUUUCACAAGAUUAAUUUCAAACCGUAGCCUCAAAGAACUUCUGCCUCUAGUCAAGAUAGAAGGAAUUGGGUUUACCCUCAUGCCUGAAACAACUAAAAAUAAAAAAAAAAAAAAUGGAUGAAACAAUGGCACAAAAGACAUUGCACAUCAGACAACAAAGGACAGUGAUCCUUCCAAGUUGGGAACAAACAAGAACGUGGAAUACAGAGAAACAGCACUGGACCUUUGUACCAAGGACUCCUGCAGUGGUGUAGGAUUUACUGGAGGACCCAGAGACUCCAUCUGGACCCUAAUCAAUACCGGACACAAUUACAUGCACAUCGCCUGCUAUUCCUGGUUGAUUUGCAAGCCGAGAAAAUCUCUGAGGCAGAAAGUCAGUGAAGAAGUUGGGAAAACCAGAGGCCUGUCUUCUGCAGAAAUCGGAGGAAAAGUAAGUUGCAAAAUUAAUGGAAUGUCUUGGCGUCCAAUAAAGAGUAUGUUAUGCUGCAACAGAGUAGGACCUAUGCAUGUACCUGUUCAUUCACUUAACAUACAGACUCCAGCACUGACAUUUACAGUCCCGUUCAUUGUUCUGGGAACUGGGGAAACAGCAAAGAAGAAAACAAAGUCCUGUUAUUAUGGCGAUUUCAUUCUGGAGAGCAGAAACGGUAAUCUAGUAACUAUAUACAGUAUGUCAAAUAACGAUGAGUGCAAUGGAGAAAGAUAAAGUAGAGUGACGGGAAGGACCCUGUUGGAGGAGGGGGUUGGUUGAUUUGCUGUUUUAUUUUUCAUAGAGUGAUCUAGGAAGGCAUCACUGAUAAGAUAACAUUUAAGCAGCGAAGUGUAAGAAGUGAGAGUGAGCCACGGGUUUGUUAAGAAGAAUGUUUUUGUUUUUGUUUUUGUUUUGUAAAAGGAGCAGCAAGUGAAAGAACUAGGGGCAUUAGUGCAUUUAGUCAACAGGAAGGAGGCCAGGGAGUGCAGACAUCAGAGGACAAAGGGGAGAGCGGUGGGGGAAGAGGUUGGAAAGCUG